Molecule: ribosomal RNA, 428 nt
Filed under: uncultured bacterium
Lineage: Bacteria
Description: bacterial SSU rRNA
Rfam family: Bacterial small subunit ribosomal RNA
Source: RNAcentral
UAGGGAAUUUUCGGCAAUGGGGGAAACCCUGACCGAGCAACGCCGCGUGAGUGAAGAAGGCCUUCGGGUUGUAAAGCUCUGUUGUAAGGGAAGAACAAGUAUGAGAGGGAAUGCUCGUACUAUGACGGUACCUUACCAGAAAGCCACGGCUAACUACGUGCCAGCAGCCGCGGUAAUACGUAGGUGGCGAGCGUUAUCCGGAAUUAUUGGGCGUAAAGGGAGCGCAGGCGGUUUAUUAAGUUUAUGGUGAAAGUUCGGGGCUUAACCCCGUGAUGCCAUAGAAACUGGUAGACUAGAGUGCAGGAGAGGUUAGUGGAAUUCCAUGUGUAGCGGUAAAAUGCGUAGAUAUAUGGAGGAACACCAGUGGCGAAGGCGGCUAACUGGCCUGUAACUGACGCUGAGGCUCGAAAGCGUGGGGAGCAAAUAGG